UACGAAGGGUGCAAGCGUUAAUCGGAUUUAUUGGGCGUAAAGGGCGCGUAGGCGGAUAAGUAAGUCAAAUGUGAAAUCCCUGGGCUCAACCUUGGAACUGCAUUUGAAACUGCUAAUCUAGAGGGUGGACGGAGAAAGUGGAAUUCCAUGUGUAGCGGUGAAAUGCGUAGAUAUGUGGAAGAAUACCGGUGGCGAAGGCGACUUUCUAGUUUUUUCCUGACGCUGAGGCGCGAGAGCAAGGGGAGCAAAC
RNAcentral lists this ribosomal RNA (250 nucleotides) under uncultured bacterium. Its description in RNAcentral is "partial 16S ribosomal RNA". It matches the Rfam family "Bacterial small subunit ribosomal RNA", at positions 524 to 773 of the family's 1533-position model. The record is from RNAcentral.